RNAcentral lists this ribosomal RNA (475 nucleotides) under Limosilactobacillus vaginalis. Its description in RNAcentral is "bacterial SSU rRNA". It matches the Rfam family "Bacterial small subunit ribosomal RNA", at positions 28 to 465 of the family's 1533-position model. Lineage: Bacteria; Bacillati; Bacillota; Bacilli; Lactobacillales; Lactobacillaceae. The record is from RNAcentral.
GAUGAACGCCGGCGGUGUGCCUAAUACAUGCAAGUCGAGCGCACUGGCCCAACUGAUAUGACGUGCUUGCACCGAAUUGACGUUGGAUUCCCAGUGAGCGGCGGACGGGUGAGUAACACGUGGGCAACCUGCCCUGAAGCGGGGGAUAACAUCUGGAAACAGGUGCUAAUACCGCAUAACAACAAAAACCACAUGGUUUUCGUUUCAAAGAUGGUUUCGGCUAUCACUUCAGGAUGGGCCCGCGGUGCAUUAGCUAGUUGGUAAGGUAACGGCUUACCAAGGCGAUGAUGCAUAGCCGAGUUGAGAGACUGAUCGGCCACAAUGGAACUGAGACACGGUCCAUACUCCUACGGGAGGCAGCAGUAGGGAAUCUUCCACAAUGGGCGCAAGCCUGAUGGAGCAACACCGCGUGAGUGAAGAAGGGUUUCGGCUCGUAAAGCUCUGUUGUUGGAGAAGAACGUGCGUGAGAGUAAAC